Long non-coding RNA from Ctenopharyngodon idella (grass carp), 1212 nucleotides. RefSeq lists it as uncharacterized. Lineage: Eukaryota; Metazoa; Chordata; Actinopteri; Cypriniformes; Xenocyprididae. The transcript has 2 exons. The record is from RefSeq and is a predicted model, not a curated record.
CUAUUUAUUUCCUUUUAAACAAAUAUAAUUUAGAUUUUUAAAAAAGAACAACAUUUAUUAAUUAUAAUUAGUAUUAGAUAUUGUGGUAAUGCCUUACUUGGAUGCAUGUUAUAAUGCCUGAUAUCUUGUCAUAAAGUAUUGAAAGAUAAAAUGCAUUAUAAUAUUUCUAGAUUCCUUGUUAGAUCUGAAACUGGUUGUUUGUCGUGUUUUAAUGCAUUAUACUUUCUCAAGUCGUGACAAUGAAUAGAUUAUAUUAUUAUGAGGUAUAACGUGGUUACAUUAUUCACAGUAUCAGACAUGCAUUAUGAUGUGUAUUAAAAUACAUAAUUCAUCAAAAAUACUUGGUAACAUUAACUUAAAGUGCUGAUAUAUAAAGCAUUAUAAACAUAUUCGUAAUGUACAUUAUAAUUCAUUAUAUAUUUUCAUAAAUAAUUAUAACCAAAGUUAAAAUGCAUUGUAAUAUUUGCAGAUUCUGAAAUUGCUUUUUUUAAAGGAAUUAUACUUUCUAAUGGUGUGUUCAAUGAAUAGAUAAGUUUUAUAAUGUAUUAUAAAUAUGGUUACAAUUAUUCAUGAGAUCAAACAGUUCAUUAUAAGGUGCAUUAAAAAAAAAAAAAAAAAAAAGUAAAGUGUUACAAAGUGUUUUAUGAUUAUAUAAUCUAAACAUUCAGAAAUGUCAUGAAAAUCAAAUGGAAAGCAUCACGUCCAGACAGCAGAAGUGACUGAAUUCAGUCUGUUCAGUUUGAUUGACAGGGAUCAUAUAUUACACCUAAAACAUGAUGAUCAUAUUAAACACUGACUCAUUCUCUUCAUAAACACAAGAUUGAUGUUGAUUUAGAUGAUCUAGUGUUAUUAGUGUUUGUCUGUGAUCAGUGUUGUGUGUGAUUGUGUUGAAUGAGCAGCUGCAGUAUCUCUCAGCUGUAUCAGUGCAUCACUGUGACGUCUGACUGACCGAGGUUUUUGUACCACUCUUUAUCACUGUGUGAACACCCUAGUGCUGCCUGGAUAGUGUAAACUCUGACAGUAAUAAUCUCCUGUAUCUUCAGUCUGGACUCCACUGAUGGUCAGAGUGAAAUCACUGCCAGAUCCACUGCCACUGAAUCUAGAUGGAGUUCCAGUAUAACGGCUUGUUGCAUCAUAUAUGAGGAGUUUAGGAGCUUCUCCAGGUUUCUGUAAGUACCAGUAUAAACGAUUACUACUAUACACUGCACUGCU